GAUGAAGAACGCAGCGAAAUGCGAUAAGUAGUGUGAAUUGCAGAAUUCAGUGAAUCAUCGAAUCUUUGAACGCACAUUGCGCCCUUUGAUAUUCCUUAGGGCAUGCCUGUUCGAGCGUCAUUUAAACCUUCAAGCUAAGCUUGGUGUUGGGUGACUGUCCGCUUCACGGCGGACUCGCCUCAAAAUUAUUGGCGGCCGGUACAUUGGCUUCGAGCGCAGCAGAAACGCGAACUCGGGCCCGUCGUAUUGGCUCCCAGAAGCUAUCUUCACAAUUUUGACCUCGGAUCAGGUAGGGAUACCCGCUGAACUUAAGCAUAUCAAAAGCGGAGGA
Molecule: unclassified non-coding RNA, 331 nt
Filed under: soil metagenome
Description: partial contains 5.8S ribosomal RNA, internal transcribed spacer 2, and large subunit ribosomal RNA
Rfam family: 5.8S ribosomal RNA (bases 1-120)
Source: RNAcentral